This 446-nucleotide ribosomal RNA is filed under the name uncultured bacterium. Its description in RNAcentral is "partial 16S ribosomal RNA". It matches the Rfam family "Bacterial small subunit ribosomal RNA", at positions 338 to 795 of the family's 1533-position model. The record is from RNAcentral.
CCUACGGGGGGCAGCAGUCGAGAAUUAUUCACAAUGGGGGAAACCCUGAUGGGGCGACGCCGCGUGGGGGAAUGAAGGUCUUCGGAUUGUAAACCCCUGUCAUGUGGGAGCAAAUUAAAAAGAUAGUACCACAAGAGGAAGAGACGGCUAACUCUGUGCCAGCAGCCGCGGUAAUACAGAGGUCCCAAGCGUUGUUCGGAAUCACUGGGCGUAAAGCGUGCGUAGGCUGUUUCGUAAGUCGUGUGUGAAAGGCGCGGGCUCAACCCGCGGACGGCACAUGAUACUGCGAGACUAGAGUAAUGGAGGGGGAACCGGAAUUCUCGGUGUAGCGGUGAAAUGCGUAGAUAUCGAGAGGAACACUCGUGGCGAAGGCGGGUUCCUGGACAUUAACUGACGCUGAGGCACGAAGGCCAGGGGAGCGAAAAGGAUUAGAUACCCGUGUAGUC